GGAAUUCCGUCAGGGUUAUCCUCCUCCCAAUCCUGACGGAUACGACCGGCUCCUCCUCCUCCCAAAAGCCGGUCACCCUAAAACGACACCCGCCGAACCUCCUCCCUCGGCGGGUGUUGUUU
Molecule: small RNA, 122 nt
Filed under: Nitratireductor indicus C115
Lineage: Bacteria; Pseudomonadati; Pseudomonadota; Alphaproteobacteria; Hyphomicrobiales; Phyllobacteriaceae
Description: Alphaproteobacterial ar14
Rfam family: Alphaproteobacterial ar14
About the family: Smr14C2 was renamed NfeR1 (Nodule Formation Efficiency RNA) highly expressed in salt stress and during the symbiotic interaction on legume roots.
Source: Rfam by way of RNAcentral